Molecule: long non-coding RNA, 977 nt
Filed under: Betta splendens (Siamese fighting fish)
Lineage: Eukaryota; Metazoa; Chordata; Actinopteri; Anabantiformes; Osphronemidae
Description: lncRNA (ENSBSLG00000024998.1)
Source: RNAcentral
UAAUAUUAAUACAAUUAAAUGGGUGCUUUUGAAUUAGGCUUCAGCAGUGCACCCUAAUGGUUUGAAACACGAGCUGUGUCCAUGCUUCUCCUUCGGGGGGAGGGAGGAGGAUGCGGAACCGGGACAAUUGGACCUUUUUCUCGUCAGUAUCUCUCGCCGCCCGCAGUAUUUCAUCAGGAAAUAUGGUACACGCUGCAGAUAAAACAAACAAUCCCUGGUCCCUGAGCACAUUGUCGUUUCCCCUUGGGCCCAUUAUCAGAUCCCCUCUGUAGGCUCCCAGCAGCUGCAGUUAUUGUGGAAGUCUCUACUUUUAUAGCCCCAUGAUGUCUGUGACAACACUGGCUUUUAUGACGGACCCAUUCCUCACGAGGUGCUCCACUUGCUGAAGCAGAGACUUGGCCUGAACGACAGCGGCGUCGAGCUGCAAGUGGACGGAAAUAGGCAAAUCCCAAGUGCAAUUUGUAGCGGGGAGCUUCUGUUGGGGAGCGGGGCCGCAGUCCGUCUCUCUGCUCUCUGGUGCCCUCAGCGGCGACAGUCGACCCUGGUACCGGGCGACGCGUUUGCUAGCGUGGAAGGUAAAGUUUGCUUUGGAUGUCGGUUGUGGACUUGUGGUACUGCAGUUGUAGUAGUGAGAGGAAGAGGAGAGUCGGGCAGUUCUGUACACGGUGGCACGACUGCGAUUUGGAUUGAGGCAAUGAUCACAACAUCUAUUAACCGCGAUCUACUGUUGCAGAAGACUUCAGCCUGAUCACGUCUUCGUUUUAAAAGGGACUUCGGGAACAAACGUGAAGCUAGAGAGGAAUUUCACACCGCAGAGCUUUUGCACUCCUUCAUUUUUAUGCUUUUCUCCACAGGGAUUACGUGUUCUGAGCCUAACAACAAAAUAUGAUACAGAAAGCCAUUUAACUCAUUGCAUAGUGACAUAAAAACAUCAUCAUAGAAAUAAAAUAAAAUGACAAAGACGACCUAUGUGAUGU